GCUGCGAUGGCCGAGUGGUUAAGGCGUUGGACUUGAAAUCCAAUGGGGUCUCCCUGCGCAGUUUCGAACCCUUCUCGCAGCG
RNAcentral lists this transfer RNA (82 nucleotides) under Salmo salar (Atlantic salmon). It matches the Rfam family "tRNA". From Rfam's summary of the family: Transfer RNA (tRNA) molecules are approximately 80 nucleotides in length. Their secondary structure includes four short double-helical elements and three loops (D, anti-codon, and T loops). The record is from Rfam by way of RNAcentral. Lineage: Eukaryota; Metazoa; Chordata; Actinopteri; Salmoniformes; Salmonidae.